This 73-nucleotide transfer RNA is filed under the name Camelus bactrianus (Bactrian camel). It matches the Rfam family "tRNA". Rfam says of the family: Transfer RNA (tRNA) molecules are approximately 80 nucleotides in length. The record is from Rfam by way of RNAcentral. RNAcentral also lists the same sequence under 1 other name. Lineage: Eukaryota; Metazoa; Chordata; Mammalia; Artiodactyla; Camelidae.
GAGGGUAUAGCUCAAGUGAUAGAGUGUCUGCUUAGCAUGCAGGAGGUCCUGGGUUCAAUCCCCAGUACCUUCU